This 1437-nucleotide ribosomal RNA is filed under the name uncultured organism. RNAcentral's name for it is "SSU rRNA". It matches the Rfam family "Bacterial small subunit ribosomal RNA". The record is from RNAcentral.
GAUGAACGCUAGCUACAGGCUUAACACAUGCAAGUCGAGGGGCAGCAUGGUCUUAGCUUGCUAAGGCCGAUGGCGACCGGCGCACGGGUGAGUAACGCGUAUCCAACCUGCCUUACACUCUUGGACAGCCUUCUGAAAGGGAGAUUAAUACAAGAUGUUAUCAUGAGUAAGCAUUUUCGCAUGAUUAAAGGUUUACCGGUGUAAGAUGGGGAUGCGUUCCAUUAGAUAGUAGGCGGGGUAACGGCCCACCUAGUCUUCGAUGGAUAGGGGUUCUGAGGGGAAGGUCCCCCACAUUGGAACUGAGACACGGUCCAAACUCCUACGGGAGGCAGCAGUGAGGAAUAUUGGUCAAUGGACGAGAGUCUGAACCAGCCAAGUAGCGUGAAGGAUGAAGGUUCUAUGGAUUGUAAACUUCUUUUAUACGGGAAUAAACGGAUCCACGUGUGGAUUUUUGCAUGUACCGUAUGAAUAAGGAUCGGCUAACUCCGUGCCAGCAGCCGCGGUAAUACGGAGGAUCCGAGCGUUAUCCGGAUUUAUUGGGUUUAAAGGGAGCGUAGAUGGGUUGUUAAGUCAGUUGUGAAAGUUUGCGGCUCAACCGUAAAAUUGCAAUUGAUACUGGCAGUCUUGAGUACAGUUGAGGUAGGCGGAAUUCGUGGUGUAGCGGUGAAAUGCUUAGAUAUCACGAAGAACUCCGAUUGCGAAGGCAGCUUACUAACCUGUAACUGACAUUGAUGCUCGAAAGUGUGGGUAUCAAACAGGAUUAGAUACCCUGGUAGUCCACACGGUAAACGAUGAAUACUCGCUGUAGGCGAUAUACAGUCUGCGGCCAAGCGAAAGCAUUAAGUAUUCCACCUGGGGAGUACGCCGGCAACGGUGAAACUCAAAGGAAUUGACGGGGGCCCGCACAAGCGGAGGAACAUGUGGUUUAAUUCGAUGAUACGCGAGGAACCUUACCCGGGCUUAAAUUGCAACCGAAUAUGGCGGAAACGCUAUAGCUAGCAAUAGCGGUUGUGAAGGUGCUGCAUGGUUGUCGUCAGCUCGUGCCGUGAGGUGUCGGCUUAAGUGCCAUAACGAGCGCAACCCUUGCCGAUAGUUACUAACAGGUCAUGCUGAGGACUCUGUCGGGACUGCCAUCGUAAGAUGUGAGGAAGGUGGGGAUGACGUCAAAUCAGCACGGCCCUUACGUCCGGGGCUACACACGUGUUACAAUGGGGGGUACAGAGGGCUGCUACCACGCAAGUGGACGCCAAUCCCAAAAACCUCUCUCAGUUCGGAUUGAAGUCUGCAACCCGACUUCAUGAAGCUGGAUUCGCUAGUAAUCGCGCAUCAGCCACGGCGCGGUGAAUACGUUCCCGGGCCUUGUACACACCGCCCGUCAAGCCAUGGGAGCCGGGGGUACCUGAAGUGCGUAACCGCAAGGAGCGCCCUAGGGUAAAA